Molecule: ribosomal RNA, 493 nt
Filed under: uncultured bacterium
Lineage: Bacteria
Description: bacterial SSU rRNA
Rfam family: Bacterial small subunit ribosomal RNA
Source: RNAcentral
AAAGGAAUAGACGGGGACCCGCACAAGCAGCGGAGCAUGUGGUUUAAUUCGAAGCAACGCGAAGAACCUUACCAGGGCUUGACAUACCAUUGACCGUUCUAGAGAUAGGACCUUCCUUCGGGACGAUGGAUACAGGUGGUGCAUGGUUGUCGUCAGCUCGUGUCGUGAGAUGUUGGGUUAAGUCCCGCAACGAGCGCAACCCUUGCCAAAAGUUGCUAACAUUAAGUUGAGCACUCUAGAGGGACUGCCGAUGAUAAAUCGGAGGAAGGUGGGGAUGACGUCAAAUCAUCAUGCCCUUUAUGUCCUGGGCUACACACGUGCUACAAUGGUCGGUACAAAGAGCAGCGAAGUCGUGAGGCCAAGCGAAUCUCACAAAGCCGAUCCCAGUUCGGAUUGUUCUCUGCAACUCGAGAACAUGAAGCCGGAGUUGCUAGUAAUCGCGAAUCAGAAUGUCGCGGUGAAUGCGUUCCCGGGUCUUGUACACACCGCCCGU